RNAcentral lists this ribosomal RNA (895 nucleotides) under Enterococcus faecalis. Its description in RNAcentral is "bacterial SSU rRNA". Lineage: Bacteria; Bacillati; Bacillota; Bacilli; Lactobacillales; Enterococcaceae. The record is from RNAcentral.
AUGGCAAGUCGUACGMKKYWWYCCUMCCGAGUGYUUGCACUCAAUUGGAAAGAGGAGUGGCGGACGGGUGAGUAACACGUGGGUAACCUACCCAUCAGAGGGGGAUAACACUUGGAAACAGGUGCUAAUACCGCAUAACAGUUUAUGCCGCAUGGCAUAAGAGUGAAAGGCGCUUUCGGGUGUCGCUGAUGGAUGGACCCGCGGUGCAUUAGCUAGUUGGUGAGGUAACGGCUCACCAAGGCCACGAUGCAUAGCCGACCUGAGAGGGUGAUCGGCCACACUGGGACUGAGACACGGCCCAGACUCCUACGGGAGGCAGCAGUAGGGAAUCUUCGGCAAUGGACGAAAGUCUGACCGAGCAACGCCGCGUGAGUGAAGAAGGUUUUCGGAUCGUAAAACUCUGUUGUUAGAGAAGAACAAGGACGUUAGUAACUGAACGUCCCCUGACGGUAUCUAACCAGAAAGCCACGGCUAACUACGUGCCAGCAGCCGCGGUAAUACGUAGGUGGCAAGCGUUGUCCGGAUUUAUUGGGCGUAAAGCGAGCGCAGGCGGUUUCUUAAGUCUGAUGUGAAAGCCCCCGGCUCAACCGGGGAGGGUCAUUGGAAACUGGGAGACUUGAGUGCAGAAGAGGAGAGUGGAAUUCCAUGUGUAGCGGGUGAAAUGCGUAGAUAUAUGGAGGAACACCAGGUGGCGAAGGCGGCUCUCUGGUCUGUAACUGACGCUGAGGCUCGAAAAGCGUGGGGGAGCARACAGGAUUAGAUACCCUGGUAGUCCACGCCGUAACGAUGAGUGCUAAGUGUUGGGAGGGUUUCCGCCCUUCARUGCKGCAGCAAAACGCWUUAAGCACUCCGCCUGGGGGAGUACGACCGCAAGGUUGAAACUCAAAGGGARUUG